RNAcentral lists this ribosomal RNA (467 nucleotides) under uncultured Ornithinimicrobium sp. RNAcentral's name for it is "bacterial SSU rRNA". It matches the Rfam family "Bacterial small subunit ribosomal RNA", at positions 916 to 1381 of the family's 1533-position model. Lineage: Bacteria; Bacillati; Actinomycetota; Actinomycetes; Micrococcales; Ornithinimicrobiaceae. The record is from RNAcentral.
GACGGGGCCCGCACAAGCGGCGGAGCAUGCGGAUUAAUUCGAUGCAACGCGAAGAACCUUACCAAGGCUUGACAUAUACCGGAAACCCUCAGAGAUGGGGGCCCCGCAAGGUCGGUAUACAGGUGGUGCAUGGUUGUCGUCAGCUCGUGUCGUGAGAUGUUGGGUUAAGUCCCGCAACGAGCGCAACCUCGUUCUAUGUUGCCAGCACGUGAUGGUGGGGACUCAUAGGAGACUGCCGGGGUCAACUCGGAGGAAGGUGGGGAUGACGUCAAAUCAUCAUGCCCCUUACGUCUUGGGCUUCACGCAUGCUACAAUGGCCGGUACAGAGGGCUGCGAAACCGUGAGGUGGAGCGAAUCCCUUAAAGCUGGUCUCAGUUCGGAUUGGGGUCUGCAACUCGACCCCAUGAAGUCGGAGUCGCUAGUAAUCGCAGAUCAGCAACGCUGCGGUGAAUACGUUCCCGGGCCUU